AGUAGUGGCGAGCGAACGGGGACUAGCCCUUAAGUGGCUUUGAGAUUAGCGGAACGCUCUGGAAAGUGCGGCCAUAGUGGGUGAUAGCCCUGUACGCGAAAAUCUCUUAGUCAUGAAAUCGAGUAGGACGGAGCACGAGAAACUUUGUCUGAAUAUGGGGGGACCAUCCUCCAAGGCUAAAUACUCCUAGCUGACCGAUAGUGAACUAGUACCGUGAGGGAAAGGCGAA
Molecule: ribosomal RNA, 229 nt
Filed under: Chloroparvula japonica
Lineage: Eukaryota; Viridiplantae; Chlorophyta; Chloropicophyceae; Chloropicales; Chloropicaceae
Description: partial Bacterial large subunit ribosomal RNA
Rfam family: Bacterial large subunit ribosomal RNA
Source: RNAcentral